GAAUUGCGAUAAGUAGUAUGAAUUGCAAAUUCUGUGAAUCAUCGAAUCUUUGAACGCAUAUUGCGCUCUCUGGUACUCCGGAGAGCAUGCCUGUUUGAGGGUAAUUAACAGAAUCUUUAACCUUUCUUGGUUAAAGGAUAUGGGCAGUCCGCGGUUUCGCGGUGGCCUAAAAUAUAUGGUCAGUCUCAUCGAGUUGAGAUGCGUAAUAAUUAUUAUUUCGCAAAAAGAUUUGAUAAGCUACCAAGUUUUGAUUCAUUCAACUAUGUUGGGUGCGGUUAAAACAAAUAUUUUUGACAUUACCUCAAAUCAGGUAGGAAUACCCGCUGAACUUAA
This 333-nucleotide unclassified non-coding RNA is filed under the name uncultured Glomeromycotina. RNAcentral's name for it is "sequence contains ITS1". The stretch from base 1 to 104 matches the Rfam family "5.8S ribosomal RNA", at positions 50 to 154 of the family's 154-position model. The record is from RNAcentral. Lineage: Eukaryota; Fungi; Glomeromycota.